Bufo bufo (common toad) is the source of this 876-nucleotide long non-coding RNA. RefSeq lists it as uncharacterized. Lineage: Eukaryota; Metazoa; Chordata; Amphibia; Anura; Bufonidae. The transcript has 2 exons. The record is from RefSeq and is a predicted model, not a curated record.
AGCUGAUCGGUGGGGAUCCCGCGUGUCCACCCCACCGAUCAGAUACUGGUGACCUAUCUAGAGGAUAGUUCAGCAGUAAAAAAAAUUAAUAAAAAAAAUCCCGGAAAACACCUUUAACCCCUUGUUGCAGGAAUCGAGGGCUUGGUAAAGUCUAGUUUUGAUCUUCCCAGGAAUGCAUAUUUAUUCUUCUCUCCUUCCGCGUUUCGAGGCUCAAAGUCCUACACAAUCCUUUCUUCUCGUGUCGGCAUUACAUCCGUCAACUUCCAAUUUCUGCACAGUCAGCUCUGGCUGUCAGCGAGCCUGGCGCCCUAUCCAACGUCAUUGGGUCCCAGCCAUAGUCCAGGUCCUAUCCAACGUCAUUGGGUCCCAGCCAUAGUCCAGGUCCUGCUGAUAAGAUAUCCUCUACUGGCAAAGUGAAAGCCUCCUGUCAAGGGCACAUUAAAGUAAUAAAAAGGAAAGGGGAGGGCAGUGGAAAAGAUUCUCUGGCUCUUAAUAAGCUCUAGACUUAGGACAUAUGGACCUCGUAGCGGGAGGGAUGAAAAGAGCGACCCCUACAGACACACCCAGUGUAUUACACAGGCAGCCUAUGAGGACCACCCAGACGUAUAGUAACAACAGGGGAACCUAGGGGAUACACAUGGCGACCUGAAAUGAUACGACACACUUGCGGUUAGCAGGAGCCUCCAUCACGGGCGACUUUUCCGGAAAACGCAUUGCCGCGAAUCAGAUGCAACACAACUUCCGAAGCUUCUGAAGACCGUUUAGCGUACAAUAUGGCCACCUAGGUGAUGUCAUGGGCCAUCCUCCAUAUUGGCUGCUAUGGGUAACGGCUACUCUUUAACCCCUUGACAACCCACGCCUAAAUUACAAAAAAAA